RNAcentral lists this ribosomal RNA (460 nucleotides) under uncultured bacterium. RNAcentral's name for it is "partial 16S ribosomal RNA". It matches the Rfam family "Bacterial small subunit ribosomal RNA", at positions 338 to 795 of the family's 1533-position model. The record is from RNAcentral.
CCUACGGGUGGCAGCAGUGAGGAAUAUUGGUCAAUGGACGAGAGUCUGAACCAGCCAAGUAGCGUGAAGGAUGACUGCCCUAUGGGUUGUAAACUUCUUUUAUAUGGGAAUAAAAUGUUCCACGUGUGGGAUUUUGUAUGUACCAUAUGAAUAAGGAUCGGCUAACUCCGUGCCAGCAGCCGCGGUAAUACGGAGGCACCGAGCGUUAUCCGGAUUUAUUGGGUUUAAAGGGAGCGUAGGUGGAUUGUUAAGUCAGUUGUGAAAGUUUGCGGCUCAACCGUAAAAUUGCAGUUGAAACUGGCAGUCUUGAGUACAGUAGAGGUGGGUGGAAUUCGUGGUGUAGCGGUGAAAUGCUUAGAUAUCACGAAGAACUCCGAUUGCGAAGGCAGUUCACUGGACUGCAACUGACACUGAGGCUCGAAAGUGUGGGUAUCAAACAGGAUUAGAUACCCUAGUAGUC